Molecule: transfer RNA, 75 nt
Filed under: Candidatus Peregrinibacteria bacterium
Lineage: Bacteria; Candidatus Peregrinibacteriota
Also listed under: 4 other names
Description: tRNA-Gln
Rfam family: tRNA
About the family: Transfer RNA (tRNA) molecules are approximately 80 nucleotides in length. Their secondary structure includes four short double-helical elements and three loops (D, anti-codon, and T loops). Further hydrogen bonds mediate the characteristic L-shaped molecular structure. tRNAs have two regions of fundamental functional importance: the anti-codon, which is responsible for specific mRNA codon recognition, and the 3' end, to which the tRNAs corresponding amino acid is attached (by aminoacyl-tRNA synthetases). tRNAs cope with the degeneracy of the genetic code in two manners: having more than one tRNA (with a specific anti-codon) for a particular amino acid; and 'wobble' base-pairing, i.e. permitting non-standard base-pairing at the 3rd anti-codon position.
Source: RNAcentral
UGGGGAGUCGCCAAGUGGUAAGGCACAUGGUUUUGGUCCAUGCAUUCGGGGGUUCGAAUCCCUCCUCCCCAGCCA